CAUUAAAUGUUCUGAUCACCUUUCUCUAGAUGAGUCCCCCCCAAAGUCUCGUCCACGCUUUCUCCGAAAGACCCACUUCUCUUAGGCUGAGAAGCCCCAGAACCUGCCUUCUGAUUGCACCCUUGUUGCGAGUCUGACAAACACAUCUGAUAGCUCACGCCCCGGGGGGACAUUGGUCAGUAGCCUUGGACUUCUCAGCUUAAUUGCCCUAGCUUUAAUGCCACUUAAAUCAGAAUGUAAGCACUGAAAGAAUUUCAGGAAUCCGAUGAUAUAAAUUGUAUUUUUAGAGCUGAGAAUGAGUUGAGCUAGUGACACAGUGCAGCGCCUAAAGAUAGAUCUCUUUAGUUUUCCCAUGAUUUAUCACAGGCGAGUUCACAGCAGGUUAAAAUAAUUGAAUGCGCUGAUAGCAUGCAUAUUGGCACGGUUUUAUGAGCAGUCAUUCAUAACAUAUUUGUCACGAAGCAUAGCUUCCAGGAUGGAACCCUGAUCCGCAGGCAGUGUUUUAGCCUCCACGACGCAGUGGAAUUAACUCCUCUGUGGAGCCUGGCCACGUCGUCACGGUGUCCGGCCCCCAGCUAGAGCUGCGGGGAAAAGGAUCAAGGGAAUGACUGGUCCGCCAAACAAACCUGGCAGCAGCUCGUCUAAAGUCAGCGUUGUAGCCUGGAAAAGGCUGGAUGAGCAUUUGCUCACCACUGGACAUAAAAAAUAAUCUGCAUGUUUGAAAAGGAUGCGCUGAACUCGUGACCUGUAAUAAACGGUUAGUGCUUAGUCUUUAAAAUGCAGAAGGAAAAGGAGCUUCCGGGCUCUGGCGGAUCUGAAUGUAGCACCAUUUUUCACAAGUUGUUUUCGCUUUAGCAACUUUACGUGGCUCUCUGUCAAUCGCCAGUCCUCACCCUCGACAGUAACUGGAUUUUUUUAAAAAAUGGUCUAUUUGGUUCCUUCCUGGGGUUUGACUGCAUUUUAAGUUUGCGGUGCUGAGUGGCAUGUUUUAGAUGUGCUUGCCCCCGGGAGCUGAUGAACUUUGCCUUCCACGUCGACAAACCACGAAAGAAGAACCGGGAGAGGCAAGAGUUACUGUCUGGCGAGCCCAGAGUCUGCCUCUGCCUGGAGCGGCGUUUUGGAUACAACUCAUUAUUUGUGGAAAUGGUGUGUUCCACAGGCAAAAAUAGCUUUUUAAAAAAAGAACCAAUCUGUACCCUCCUGAAGUCAUGUCAAAAUGGAUGCAGGGUUUCUCAUGGAAAGGAAAACCAUUUUAUUAUGGCCUGAAGGGUCCUCGUGUACUGGGCCUUGCCACAUGAAGCCUAGUCUAGGAGGCUUUAGGGUCCAGAACAAGCGAAUAGAGGCUUAAUGAUGAGGUAAUGAGAGCAGAGGUCACGGGUGGGAAACAAGUUUUCUAUUUGCAGCCACACAGCCGUGGGAAAGUCUCACCCAGAGACCAUCAACUAACGAAAAAAAAAAAACCAUUGAAAACGGAGAAGAAUGUGGGAACUUUCCCUUACCUGAUCUUAAGCACAGAGGGACACCGGACUUUAAAUAAUAAAAUCAAACCGUAGAGGUCAGCUUCAUAUGAGAAUCAGCAAAGGGAAACACAAAGAGGAGGGGAAAAAGAGGGGAGGGACGCGGAGAAGAGGGAGCUUUUGUAAUUGUUUUAAUCACUGGCCUAUAUUGUUACUCUCCGCAAAGACAUGAAGCACAGAUAGGUUGAGUCACCUGCCUAAAGUCAACACAGCUAGCUGGGAGAGGAGCCGGGAUUUGAACCCCAGCAGCCAGGCUCCAGGGUCUGCCAUGAUGGGGGUGUGAAGGAGGGCUUGGGAAAGCUGAGUGUUCCAGCUCUGACCCCCAUACUGCAGACUGACUAUUUGUAUCCCUUCAGGAUUCAUGUGUUGACAGCUGACUCCUGAUGGGAGGCCGGGCCUUGGGGUGGUCAGGUCACGAGGGCAGAGCCCGCACAAAUGGCCUCAGUGCCUGCAGAAAGGAGGGUCCUUCCGCCAUGUCAGGACACAGUGAGAAGGCGAUUCAGAUAUGGAAUCUUCCAGUGCCUUGAUCUGGGACUUCACAGCCUCCAGAACUGUGAGAAAUAAGUCUCUGUUGUGUCUAAGCCCCUCAGUCUAUACAGUGUUCUGUUUAUAGCAGCCAGACGGGGCUGAGAGCCCACAGAGCACCCAUUCUGAGUCCCCUUCCGAGUCCCAUUCCUACUCCCCUUCCGAGUCGAGCUGCCCACACUCCACUCACACCACUGGCUCUUGGUAGAGCACCUCUGAAUGCCCAGCUCAGCUCAUCGCCCCUCACCCAGGGAUGAGCCCGGCCUAACCCUCCCAACCUAUGUGACCUGGUGUCCUGUCCCUGGGGGGCCUGGUGCCCCAUGUCCAAUAGGAACAUCCAGGAGUUCUCUGCCCACACCUGCCGUCAACACACCUGGCCUGGCGCUUUGAUCAGUUCACGUCCACGUUCCUGUCCUAAGCCGAUGGAGUCCCUGGCGGGAUGUAGCGAGAGAAACACAUCCCGACUUGGAUCUCGGCACUUAGGGUUCAACAGAAACCAGCGCUGAGAGAACGUGUUGAAGAUCAACGGAAACGCAGCUAGUCCUCAGUGAGGACGUGCACAGUGGGGUCAGAGGCCGAUGCUGAAUGGACUCCGUUCCGAUCCCAUCGCUGUCGAAACCUAGAAGUUUCGGCCAAGCCGGUAAACCCUGCGGGACGAACACUCCAGCCUCAGUAGCGGCUGGAUGUCUGCAGGUGGAAACAGCACACAGUGACUUCUUGACUAGAUGGAGGGAUGUUUCCAACCUGAACAUCUGCCUUGAGGAGACUCGACUGUAUUGGGAAAAUGUUGUUUUGUAGAUGAUACACUGUAAAUCACUUCUCUGCCCGAAAAGUUCUAAUCUAAUCACAGGCUUUGCCUCUGGUUCGGAAGACGCGGUCAGGGAGAGGCCUGGGUUUGAGUUAAGCUGUGCUGAGGAAUGGAGUGGAUACAAUGAUGGAACAUCCGGACCUCCCCAGCUCCUGGGAGCAUUGGGGGCCGGUGGGAUCUCAGCUGCAUAUCAUUCAGGCAUUUGCUCCCGGCCGAACAGAAUUGCCCAUGGUUUCAUAUGCUCCCAAGGGGCCCGUGUGUUCACUGCCUGCUCCUUGGAGACAGGGGGGAUGAAAAGGCCUCUCAAGGCAGGACAGCUUUGGAGGAGCACCCCCAUUCCAGAGCAGGCUGGGGUUCAGGACCAGGAGUAAAGAGAGGAAGCCUUGGUUCGUCUCGGGUACCAUAUUUAAGGGGGUGCCAAAGAUCUCAGGAAUCAGGGUGUAUACGAUUUCAAUGCGCCGUUUUCCUUACAUAAUGCAAAAAACAUCCAUGAUAGUUAGCAAAAUUGCAAACCCAGGCUGACCUCAACAGGGCCAGGAUUAGGGUGAGGAGACUAAAGUUAAGUCCUACAGGUGCACGGUGAAAUUCAGACUUCGUUCAAACUUUGUGUAUCGUGGAUUAUUCUUUUUAAUACUAGCUUAAAGCUAUUUAAACGCUGUCUUAAAACCUUACGUAUCUUGUCUGCUGAGUUUUCUGGCACCCCUUACAUAUUACCCCCAGGCAAGACUUCGCCACCUUGGUCCCCGGCUGGGGUCUGCUGGUCCCACGUCAGGGUAGCUGCCCCCUGCCCCCAUGCUGCCUGCUUUCCUCACUCCCUGUA
Long non-coding RNA from Acinonyx jubatus (cheetah), 3670 nucleotides. RefSeq lists it as uncharacterized. The record is from RefSeq and is a predicted model, not a curated record. Lineage: Eukaryota; Metazoa; Chordata; Mammalia; Carnivora; Felidae. The transcript is spliced from 3 exons.